GGAUAAGCUCAAAUCCUCUGCUCCGCGUCCCAGCCGCGUCCAAGAUCUUCUCCCGCGCGUUGAAGAAGCUCGGUUCCUUCCUCUCAUCCCCUGGAUUCACGUCAAUAGGAUAUGCUCCGACUCCCAGAAUCAUCCCAGCUUCAACCACAUCCCGCUUCCUUUCAUCCUUAUCCUACACUGAUAAGAUCAUAUCCCCCGCAUGAUAACAAGGGUUAGAGGGAUAUAAAAGGAGGAAGCUUCACUGGGAGGGGGGCAGCUUGUUCUGGGAGUCCCACAGAAGUCACAGAAGGCAGGAGACAAGGAAGAGAGAAAACCAGUCGGGAUGGAAGCUUUCUCCACUGUUGUUGUCAUCCAUAAUCCCAUGGAAGGUUGAUUUCUUCACUAGGGCUGGAUGCAGCCCUAACAAAAGGGCAAGAAUUUUUGUAUUUUUGAUUUCUAUUCUUGAAGUUGUAUAAACUUUAUUUGUGCUCAAUGAAUAUUCCCUUUCAUCUCGUAUUUGUCAAUCC
This 506-nucleotide long non-coding RNA is filed under the name Phoenix dactylifera (date palm). RNAcentral's name for it is "long non-coding RNA (PDAC_LNC009338)". The record is from RNAcentral. Lineage: Eukaryota; Viridiplantae; Streptophyta; Magnoliopsida; Arecales; Arecaceae.